RNAcentral lists this long non-coding RNA (16454 nucleotides) under Setaria viridis. RNAcentral's name for it is "long non-coding RNA (SVIR_LNC010101)". The record is from RNAcentral. Lineage: Eukaryota; Viridiplantae; Streptophyta; Magnoliopsida; Poales; Poaceae.
GUACCGCUGAAAACUUGAGGAGGUCCAAAGCAUCACGAGAAUGGGAGCACGGAUGAGGAGCAUCUUCUUUGAUCCGUCUUUUGCUUAGUACUAUCAUAAUCAUACCAUGUACUGAAUUAUUUGGGUUUAAAAUGGACCAAGUCGUUGUAUUCUAGCUGGCAGUCUACCGCGUGCUAGUUGAGAAUGUAGAACAGCAAUGAUCAGACUAAUAUCAGUGUUAUUGUGCCGCAUUACCGUUGCUAUCGUGCCUGCAUUGGAGUUUCUCGUCUGAAAGGUUCAUGCCAUUUUAUCCGCCGUGCCCUCGAUUUAGCCCCAUGUUUCCUCUGCUUUGAUUACGUUUUGAGUCACUAUGAUUAUGAUGUGUUCUACGGUGUCGCAGUUGUAUCUUGUAUUGCUUUAUGCGGGCACUCCGUUUUACUCCCUCCACCUAAAAAACAGGUCAUUUUACGUAUUGAAUCUGUGUUUUUUAUGGAGGGAGUACGUGGCAGGUGAGCUCCUCCUUCGUGGCAGCCAAUUCGUUCAUUUGGUCAGGCCCAUACUACAAAUAGAGUUAGAGAGUUGUCUCCAUGGUUUAGAGCCCAUAUGCAGCUAGACCUAGACGCGGGCUCGGUUCUUUGAUGGGCUUGAACAUAACUUUAUUGGGUCAGGCCCAUUCCACAAAUAGAUGGAUAGAGAUUUGUCUCCAUGGUCAGAGCCCAGCAAAUGCAGCUAGACGCAGGCUGUUGCUGUGAUGUGCUUGAACUGUACUUUAUUGGGUCUAGCCCAUACUACUAAUAGAUAUAGAGAUUUGUCUCCGCACGGUAAAGCAGCGUGGUGCUCGCAUCGUUGGUAAAACACUGCCGCGCUUGAAAUUUACAGGCAGACUUUCACAUUCACCUUGACAUUUAUGUUCUGGGCUGUCGAGGUUCUGGCUUGCUGCCCGUAAAACUCACGCCUUUACAGGGAAGCUCGUGAUUCUUUACACUUUUACACUUGCAUCCAAUCGCCCAUUGCCGUGGAGGACCACGAGCGCUUGGCAAUCGGACGCCGCGCUCCACCAAUUUCCAAUUCCGCUGCCACGAACAGCGAGCAUGGCUGGACCAGCCACAAGGCGGCCUUCCCCUUUUCAAUCAUGCAGCGGAGCACACGGGCGCGUUUGGUUCGAGGAUCAGGCGAGCCUCGCUCGCAUCUACCAGCCAGGCUGGGCUAGAUCAGACUAACGGCAUGCAGAACUUCAGUGUUUGGUUCACUGCACGAUGAUAUACAGGAUGCAAAAAGCACGUGAUUGGUUGCAACCAAGUUCAACACACAUACAGAUGCAUUUGUUUGGUUGACUACAUGCAAGAGAGUUUGAACAUACGAGGACUUGACUUGGUAAGGUUACCACCUAAUUUUUGGACAUCCCAGAUACUCGUAGAACAUAGAUGAUUACACACGGUUAGAAACUAAAAUUAAUAUGCAAAUAAACUGAGCUAAGAUCAUAACAAACUGCACAAUAAUGAUGGCAUUGAUUCUUUCUCUUGCUUGAUGGCCUUGCAGUCAUCGGGCUCUUCACUUUUGAUGACUUGAUCACCAUGUCUUUUGUGGUAACCUGCAAAAACUUUACCUUUUGUCUUGUAUCCUUUGUAACAAGCUCCUUUGAAGCUAUUGACCUGUGCAUGGCAUUCUUCCUAGGUGGCAAAAACUCCAGUUUGGCGGCCACAAGAAACAACAUGCCAAGUCAUAAUGGCAGUCCUAAAUAUGUAAAAUGACACAGUGAAAACAAAUGAGAUAGAAUAUAUAAUUGUGAACACAAUGUCUGAAAGUAAAGUAAUCAUAGGUAAUGGAUUGUGCUCAGUUAAUGGAUAGAUAGCUCAAAUUCAACAAGCAUGGAUGGUUCAUAUCAUAGGCAAUGGACACAUAGCUCAGAUCAUGCAAGUAUGAAUGGUUCACAUCAUAGGUAAUGGACAUAUAGCUAAGAUCAUGCAAAUAUGAAAUGCUUACAUCAGACGCAAUGGACAGAAAGAAAACUCAGAAUCAACAUGUAAGAAAACAAAAUAGCAAAGGCAAAGGAGAAAUGGUCAUGAAUUAAAGUCAUGGUCAUAACUGCAACCAUGGUCAAGUGUCCAUCACAUCAUAGGCAAUGUAAUUGACUGAUCAGAUACAUCAUCACAGAGCUAAUGCAUAUUCCAAUGUCACUUGAACCACACCUCAAGUUUGUACCACACAGACCUAGAACCACCCAACCAUGAGUUACUGACCUACAGAGACAAGCAUGUUGUCUCAAACCAAAAGAAUUGAAGCAUAGUGUUGCCAGCUCCAGUUAGCUUUGUCCUCCACAAAAUAUUCAUCAAACUGCACAAAAGGAGUAAACAGCAGGAUAGCAGCUUCGCUCCACAAAAGAAAGAUCAGUUAGUAAGCAUGUGAGGAGAUCUACAUGUAGUAGCGCUUGUUCUGAGCCAGAGGGCAUGGUGCUUGGCAUACAGUACCUACUAACUGUCUCCAUAGACCUCCUAAAUGGUUGGUGGAUGACCCUAAAUCUUUGGUUGUGGCCUACAACAUGAAAAUAUAUUGCAACUUGCUCCUCUACACUACUAUGUAUGGUGUCCCUUAGCAAGCUCUUUUCACUUAGAAGGUUACACAAGUUGAAAAAAAAGGAGGUCUACGCAUGCGCAGCAUGCUAACACAUUCUAUAUCAUUACAGUUAUAAAUUUUAUUCAGAUUGGCUUGGUGUUCCUCAUCCAUGACACUUAUUGGGGCACAGGUAAUAUGAGGACAUGAACUUUGUGCCACCCUAAGACUACUCAUGAAGUAUGCAUAAAUAAUAGUAACAAAAGCAGCAGCUUGAGUCACAAGCAUGCGUCUCUGGUCGACCUGGUCCAUCUAUUUCAGUGCGAGAAUGAAAAAGGCAUUGCUCAGAAUAAGAACAAAUUAUAACAAAGGUGCUACUGCUCAACAAUCAUAGACAAGAACAAUAGGCAGUGCUCAUAUAUCACAUUUUUAUCAUGUUAUAAUCAAACAUUAUUGACUAAGGAUAUGUGCUCAUUUAUCAUUGUCUUUUUCAUCUUAUAAACAAUCAUCAUUGGCUAGGAAGUGGAAGAGGGCAAGGGUGAGGAUGGAGGGAGGGUUACGGCAACGGUGAGGAUAUAAAACCAGCAGAUGGCGCGAAAGGAGGGGUAACUCUAGACUUUUCCCCCGUGCGCGCGCCUGCACCGCGCGAGCCAAUUUUUAUAGCCCCCGCGCGCUCCCUCUCGUCCCGCGCGAGCCAGGCUGCCCAGAAACGGAUUUCAUUUACGUUUCCGGCAGAUAGGCUCCGCCGGGCCUUUUGCAUGCCUCAGGUGCCAGGUCGAGUGCAGGCAAAGCAAACUCCCGAAACCUGCGUCCCGUGGACCAGGCUGGGCCAAAUGCAAACCGCCCCAGGUGUCUCGAGAGGAAGCUUCGUCCUCGCCGCGACCCGCGCGGACGAGGACGGGGGAGACGGCGAGCGCCCGGGACAGGUGGGAGUAGCACGUGCUGCGCCUGCACGGGCACGGCGCGCGGCUCGGCUCGGCUGGCACGCCACUGCCGCACCACGGCACCAGCGCAUGCGCACACGCGCGCCAGCCAGCCAGCCAGCCAGGCCCAGGCCCGACCCCGACGCCGAUCCGUCCAAUCGCUGCCGCGAUUUUUAUUGGGGGGCAACCUGGAAUCCGAGCCGCUGAUGCCGUCUCCUCCUCCGGCGAGCCACACCCGCACAGCCAGCCACGUGGGGCCCCCGCCCAUAGCUGUUCCCAGCCUGCCCGGAUGGACUCCAGCAUAAAAGCGGAACAGCGCACGCCUCCACACUCCGUUCACUGCCCUGUGGGGUCUCAGGAAUAUACGGGCCCACGGGCCUCCCAAGUUGCGCGGGUCUUUCUGUGGGCUGGCAGGCAUGAUCGAUCGAAGUAGACCGGAUUAGUUAAUGGGCAACUUGCGGAAUGGAAUAAUGAGGCGUUUAUAAUUUGAUGGAUUCGAGCGGCGGGCCCACCGCCUUCUGUGGACGCAACUUUUAUGUUGAACAACACGAAGAACUCGGGAGAUCUGCUUAACUCCAGUGAUCGAUUCGUGGGUGGUGCAAGGUGUGCCAGUCAAUUUGAUCUAAAAAUUAACAAUGUAAAUAUUAAAUUUCUGAGCCGAUCGAGGGUGAAGCCUCGAGCUUAUGGUUAGGCAUUUUUGAAUAAACACCACAACAGAUAGAUAUUUAAUGUAAGCAUGCGGUGUAAAUACAUGAAACAUUAAUGGCAUAUUCCAUCGGCUAUGUCAGCCGAUGGAGCAUUGUAACACAACAACCAUGAAAGGAGAGCCCUUGUUAACCACGCGCUUAUCAAAUAAGCUAACAGAUCUAACCACUAUCUUAACAAGUGUAUUGAACGGUAACACGAAUGAGAGGGUAUUGACAUCAAUUUACUAACUUAAAAUAUUAGAACAUAGCAACAAGGACCAGCCGAUGCUGACUAUACGCAAGCAAGAUACAUUGACAGAUCUAAUUAAUGUCUCGAUAAGUGUAUUGAACUUAGACAAGGCAACACGAAUAAGAGGGCAUUAACCUCGAUCUGACAACAUGAAAGACUGGAGCACAAUCACCAAAGACCUCUUGCCUACCACUUACAAGCCUAUUAAGGUAACAAAAUCUAAUCAAUGUCAUGACUGUCUAAUUGAACUUAGACCAGGUAACACGGUGAGAGGGUAUUAACUUCGAUCCAUUAAUCUUAACAGACAUGCUCGCGGCAGCAAGGUCUCGCAUGCACUCCCUAUCGGCUCGAUGAUGUCAUCAUGCUUCCGUGAGAUACGAAUAAGAUCCGACCGAAGCAUCGGCUCUUAAUGGUAGCACGCUGACGUCAGAGGUCUGACGGUUAGCAAUACGAGGGGCGGGGGUAAAGAUCUAUCAGACCUAGCAUAUAUAUAAGGCAGUAAAAGCAUGCAGAGUCUACCAGCCAAUACGAUCUGACAACUGUGAACGUCUAAACAAGGCAAGGAAGCCGAUGAAGACAACCUAACCAGCUCUAAGUUAUUUGAUAACUUGAGCAACGUCGAAAACAAGCAGAAUAUUGGACAAAGCCUAGAAAGUUCUACUUGCAAUGUAAGAUAACUCGAUAACUAGCCACUCGACAAUAUCAGAAUAUUAAGGCUUAACUUAGAAAGUUCUGAUAGAGGUCGUAAUGAUCGGGUGACGGUACUUACAAGCUUGCUUAAGAUCGAAGCCGAUGCAUCCUUGCGUGCUAGAAGGAACUCGUCGAAUCUACUCUACUCCUACUCCUAGGAUUUUGGCGAUGUGGCGCCGAAAGAUUGUAUUGAUUGAUUGAUGAUCAUUUAUUACAAUGGCCAGCGAUACAUAUUUAUACCCUUGACUAAUGACUCCUAAUUGAGGCGUACCAAAACUUGUCUAACAAUAAAUAUCUAAACAAAAGAAAAUACUAAGAUACAUGAAUCUCUAAUUUUCCUGAUGUAGAAUCCUUACUAAUGAACCUUACUAAUGAAGUUUUCUUCGAUCUAUCCGUAAAAAGGUCGAUCUUCACGGGUGAUUAACCAGAUUUCCUCCAACGCGUGGCAUGCAAAGUAGACCGAAAUCCAUGCCUUAUAUAUUCUAAUCGCUUUUACCCAUUCGUGUUAGCCCACUUCUCAUGUUUUAGGCUCCUUGUUAUCAACUCAUAUCAUCGUACGUGCAUGUAAUUACAACAUGCAAGUGCACAGCACACAUGCAGCUACACCCGGUACGUGUGCAUGGUCCGGCGUCCUUGCCGCUGGACUAGAGGACGACCUUGACCUGCCGUGUCCGCGCAGAACCUCGUCUUCCUCAAUACGUCGACUCCAACGCAAAACCCGGCAGCCCGCGGCGUCGUCGUUGUCUCGAUACCGUUCUCGCGUUCCGCUAGCCUUAUGGUGUUGUCAUCAUCAGUGGCAUCACGUACCCUCCCUACAUGCACUUUCUUCAUUCCGCCUAUCUCGUCUUUGUGAGAUUUUAUCGGCUAAAAUCCGGUGUCAGCCCCAUCUGCUGGACAGCACAGCAUCUCAGCCUUGCCCUUCUCCCUCCUCUGAUUUUUCCUUCAGAAUAAAAUAGUGCUACAUUCUUUAAGCUCAGGGAUGAGUCAUCGCCAUGCACUGUCACUGUUCAUCCAGCAGUGGCUCCCCGUUUUCUUCGCCGAGUCAGCAGGAGUCGCAGCGCCCGUGCGUGCGUGCCCUCCGUUUCUUUUUAAAUUUCAAUCCUUUCGCACAUGAUGAUGGAUCCGGGGCAUCCGGCUCUCUCGGCCACCCUGGAUUAGCGCGGGUAUUAAAAAAUGUGGUUAGUGGAUGAGGGCACCAGCUGCUGAGCUGACCCUGCCACGGUAGCCGCAUUGGAUUCUUCAAAACAUUCCGGGCGCGCUCGUGCAGCUGACCGUGCUGCGCUAGCUGUCUUGCACAUGACAGCUCCGGCUCGCUGUCGCCCGGCCCCGGCCGCUCGAGCGCUCGCUGCCGAUCGCCCAAAACGACAAUUUCACGGCACCUGACCGGUGGCGAAGGCAGGAUCAAGCUUGGGUUCUCCUUUCCUUCUUCUUCCUCCCUCCUCUUCUUUUCUUCUUCUUCCUCAUCAAAUUUAUAAGGAUGCUCAAUAAGAUUCACGACGGUAGGAAAGCUCGAGCCCAGACCCAUCGCUGGAUCCGCCCCUGCACCUGACCACCUGAGAACCCAACCUGCGACGCCUGAAGACAGCGCUACUUCUACGUUCUACCAAGGAUGCCAACAAAUUACCAUUCCAACUGCUCUUACAUGCACAAUACAGUGGUAUUGUCAGAAACAAAUGCAUAUCGCAAUGUUGUGAUUGGUGGGGGAAAAAGAGAGGGAAUUCUCUGUUUUGGAUUCCGUUCGAAAUAAGAGAGUAUUUUGCAUUGUGAGCAUUGUCAAAUUUUGCACAUAAGAUUAGGGGGUGUUUGGAUACACCCCACUAAAAUUUAGCACAUGUCACAUCGGAUAUUUGAUGCUAAUUAGAAGUAUUAAACAUAGGCUAAUUACAAAACUAAUUGAACAGAUAGAGUCUAAUUCGCGAGACGAAUCUAUUAAGCCUAAUUAGUCCAUGAUUUGACAAUGUGGUGCUACAGUAACCAUUUGCUAAUGACGGAUUAAUUAGGCUUAAUAGAUUCGUCUCGUGAAUUAGCAUAGGGUUCUGCAAUUAGUUUUAUAAUUAGUUCAUAUUUAGUUCUCCUAAUUAGCAUCUGAACAUCCGAUGUAACACUGCUAAAGUUUAGCACCUAGUAUCCAAACACCCCCUUAGUAAUCUUGUGCUUCAGUAACAGUUGUUAAUCUCUGAACGAGCAAACGCUAGUAGUAGCAGUGAUUCCGUACUGCCCGCUGCGAAGAUCAGCUGGCAGCUGCCAAAAGUGCUGCCAGAUUAUUCGCCCUGCGGGUGAAACCUACUCUCUGCAUCUCACAAAGAGUGUUCGUUUAGCCUUCAAAAGUUGUCCCACAAGAAGUGUUUAUAUAACUUUCAAACCAUCCAACAAAGACCCUCAUAAUACCUUCUGACCCAAUUAAUGAAUGGAAAAAGUUAGCUCGCGCAGAACGCGCGGCCUGCUGCGACCCGUGUCAGGAGAUUGGGCUCACAUUUUCUAUUUCGUUUGCACCAUUGCGCUCCUUACGAUGAGAUCAACAAAACUAAACCCACGAUGCAUAUGUUUUGAAAUAGUUACAAUAUACCGAUAACUUAUGUUGAAUAUACAUUAGUUAUUCUGUAUUAAGUGUAGCAACUUAAAUGUGAAUCUACCAACGAAUUAUAUACAUAAAUUGAUACAACAAGUAAUUUUACCUAGCAUUUCUUACCUAUCUUGAGCAUCCACUGUGCCAUCUUCCUCUCUACAUAAAUUGUUCUGUUGCCCCCUAUAUAAGUUGUUCCAUUUUCUCCAUGUAAAUUGUAAUAGUAUAAAAGUUAUCACAUGCUCUCUACGUGAAAUGAUACUAAUGAUUGUAUAGAAGUUCUUUACAUAAGUAAGCAUGCUACUAGAUAUACAAGUUACUGGACCACACAACAUAGGUUUUUAUAUUUCCAUGCAUCAAUUUCUGCGGAUAAACGAGACAACUUGUUAGUUCUAGAAAUAUAAUGUAAAUAUAAGUUACUAUUGCCACGAUAAAAAUAAGAUUACUUCAAAAUGUAUGGAAAGUGGGUCUCAUUUCAUAGAUAAAAUUGUGAAGAAUAUAAAUGUGGAAAUGAAUUCGAAAGCUAAAGCUUAGUGAGAAAGUUAUCAUCGAAACUGGACAAAAGUAAAUUGCAUGGCAUGAUUUGCUCCAUGUGACGACAAGAAGCUUGUACUGUUACGCAUGCACACGAUUUGUGCUACUCCUAGCGCUCUGCUUGCAUGCACAUAAUUUGGUCUGUGUUAUUUUUUUAAAAAAAUUACUUUGCGCACAUGGGGUGUGAGUCCUAACACUAUGCUUACUUGUACCGUAAUUAGCUCCGCACUUUGCAGGUUCGCGCGAUCACGUUUUGCGCGACGCGUGUCAAUGAAUCGAGCAUUUACUCGAUGAUGUUCGAGCUAUACUUGCUAAAUAAAGAAGACUAAUAAGUUCGAUAAUUAUUGCAAACGUGAAUACUCGUAAUUCAUCCGGUAAAAAAGAGUUAUUACGAUUACCGUGGACGGAGAGGGUACGACCACUACGAAACGGAAAAACUACAGCAGUCUCGUCCUCAGACUUCUCCACGCACUCAGAGAUCCCAAUCCAAUUCCCGAUUGCUACAGCCUCCAACUGACAUAUGGGCCUUGGAACACAGUUCCGUGGGCCCACGCUCUCUCGUUGGCAAGGAGCAGCUGAUAGCUAGCUCCAGCUGCAACCGAAAAGGAAGGAAGGAAGGCGCAAACCAACGGAGCGCAGGCCGGGUCACAGCGCAACGACGCCGCGCGCCCCCGCCGCUGCCCGUUCGGAUCCCGCUCGGCUCCAGCUCGCCCCCGUCCCCACGGACACCACCCGCGCCAACCCUCAACUCCACGAGCCGUCACUGACAUCUAGGCCCAGACUGCCGGGCCCGUGCGCAAGUGGGCGUAAGUGGAUUGGUGUCUCGCAGCCACGGCACACCAGGAUCCAGCCUGGCUCCUCCCACCCCACGGCCCCGGCGUUUCCACACCCGAUUCUUAUACCACCCGCCCAACUCCUCCCCCUCUUAUCUCCCUCGCUCACGACGACGCACCCGCAUUGCGCCCGCCGCCGUCAAUCCCAGCGGAUCAGGCCAAGUUCGCGGGGAUUUCGGGAGGUGUGACAGCAGGAGCAGCACCGGUGGCCAUGGACCCGUGCCCGUUCGUGCGGGUGCUGGUCGGCAACCUCGCUCUCAGAAUGCCGGUGGCGCCGCCGGCCGCCGGCGCCGGCGCGGGCGUCCACCCGUCCACGUCGCCGUGCCACUGCAAGAUCCGGUUAGGAAAGAUGCCGGCUCAGCUCGUCCCGGCACCGCUCGCGCCCUUCGACGGCGGCGAGCAGGCGCCGGCGUCCGGGGCGCUCGCCGCUGCGUUCCAUCUGUCCAAGGCCGACCUGGAGUGGUUCAACGGGAAGCCGUCGCUCUUCUCCUCACGUGGGGAGGCGUGCCUGAAGGUCGCGGUCUACGCCGGCCGGAAGGGGAGCACCUGCGGGGUCAGCUCCGGGCGGCUGCUCGGGAAGGCUACCAUCCCGCUCGACCUCAAGGGCGCCGAGGCCAAGCCCGCGGUGCUGCACAGCGGCUGGAUCUCCAUCGGGAAGAGAGGCGGCAAGGGCAGCCCCGCGGCGGCGGAGCUCAGCCUCACCGUCCGGGCGGAGCCCGACCCGCGGUUCGUGUUUGAGUUCGACGGCGAGCCGGAGUGCAGCCCGCAGGUGCUGCAGGUGCGGGGCAGCAUGAAGCAGCCGAUGUUCACCUGCAAGUUCGGGUGCCGCAGCAACAGCGACCUGCGGAGGCCGGGGAUGCAGCCGGAGCGGGAGGGGGCGUCGGGGAAGGAGCGCAAGGGGUGGUCCGUGACGGUGCACGACCUGUCGGGCUCCCCCGUAGCGAUGGCGUCCAUGGUCACGCCCUUCGUGCCGUCGCCGGGGACGGACCGCGUGAGCCGCUCCAACCCGGGCGCGUGGCUCAUCCUCCGCCCCGCCGGCGACGGCGCCUGGGAGCCCUGGGCGCGCCUCGAGUGCUGGCGCGAGCGCGGCGGCGCCGGCGCGUCCGACAGCCUGGGCUACCGCUUCGACCUCCUCCUCCCCGGCGUCGACCACGCCGUCCCCCUCGCCGAUUCCUCCAUCCCGUCAUCCAAGGGCGGCAAGUUCGCCAUCGACCUCACCGCCGCGCAGCCGCUUAGCCGGGGCGGCACGCCGGGGUGUAGCCCGAGGGGCAGCGGCGACUUCAGCAACUGGCCCCUGGGGAACUACCGCGGGUUCGUCAUGUCCGCCGCUGUCCAGGGCGAGGGCCGGUGCAGCAAGCCGACGGUGGAGGUCGGGGUGGCGCACAUCGGGUGCGCCGAGGAUGCGGCGGCGUUCGUGGCCCUCGCGGCGGCCGUGGACCUGAGCAUGGACGCGUGCAGGCUUUUCUCGCACCGGCUGAGGAAGGAGCUCUCCCACCCGCAGGCCGACCUUCUCCGGUGAGUCGGUGACCCCCGACCCGCCACCGGCCACCGGCGCGGCGACCACGAAUCACGAGCAAAUUGUAAAUAAGUAGUUGCGGCAGAUGCGUGCUUUAGCGUUAGUUUGUUGGAAGUAGUUCGAUUCGGGGUGAUCGGCUAGUUGAUCAAGAUCACCUUUUUUGCGAGCGCGAGCGUGGUGUGGGUGUGAUUUUUUGGUUGGUUGCUUCACUUUAGCCAUGGUAGUAGGACGUCCUCUUUUUUGGAUUUCUAUAAAUCCAGAGCAAUUUGUGAACAAGAAACGAGCUUCCAGUUCGAUUGGAGUUGAACGACCUCGAAUGUGUUAUCGGCUUCUUGCUCGGAUCAAAAUUCUUCAAAAGGGCGGGUUGUUGCGGUAAACCUGCAUCACUGCCUCCACCCCGCGGCAAAGCAUAGAAUCUAAUCUACAUGGUCUCAUUUUGUUUCGCUCUCGCGAGAUCGAAGCAUUUUGAGAAAAUUCACUGCAUGCCGUUUGAAAAUUUAACUCAUCCCCUAUGUGCCUUUGGUGCCACUGAAAAUUUAACUCAUCCCUUACGUGCCGUUACCGUCACAGCACAUUUAUAUGGCUGUUAAACGAAGCUGGAAAAGACAAUAUUGCCCUAGAAUGGAAGAUACAAUCAACAUGCUCUUAUGAGGUAUUUCGUCAAACACAUUGUGGGCGACACCAGCGAAACCACCCUCUUUUAUGUUCAUCCCUCGCAUCUUUCAUCUCUCAUCUCUCUCCGAUGCACUAAGCUGGGACAGGGACUGACGGCGAAGAUGCAGGUGCUGCCGCCAGCCGCAGCGGAGAGGACGCACACUCUGGGUGGUGCUUACCUUAUGGCCGUACCCCGCACGCAUGUAGUUCUCCGUCGAUUUCCUCGCGCCCGCACAAACUCACUGGAGCCACCCGCCAGCUCCCUUGAUUGCAAGUUUGCAACUAAAGGGCUAGUAGCUAGCUGCCGGAUCGAACUACUCUCUAGUUAUAUGGCAGCUCAAGCAAGAAUCAAGCACCUAUGGGUCAGCUACCUCCCCGUAGCUUCGACACAACCAUCCUCGUCACUAGCGUAGCAGACGAACACCGCGGCUCGGCACAUCAGCAGACAUCCGGUCUUUCGUGGCCCGCGCCGGCGUGACCACAUGGACUGGGGCGCCGACGCCGGCGCAGGCUCGCGCCCGAUGGCGGGGCUUGGCAGCGGGCGCCCGGCGCGGCCAGAGAAGGCGGCGUGGCCUUCGGAUCCGGCGGCCGCACACGGCGUGAGGCGACGAGACGCGGGGCCGCCCGGCCGUGGCCAAGGUACUGGAUAGCGUUUCGGCAUGGCAACGGAUUAGCGUCGGUGUAGUGGAUAGCGGACGUCAAGUUCAAAUAGUGCAACUCAGAAAAUUGUCAAAUUUUAGAGGAUAUAUAAUAUUAACAUCAAGUUUACUCAUAAAAAACUUAUAAAAAAAUUAUGAUUUUAAAUUAGCCAUUACAUUUAAUCACAAAUAAAUAGUAUAAUUAAGAUGUAUGGAUAUAUAUUAACGUUAAAUUCCCAUAUCAAUAAAUAAAAAAAUUAUUUUUUAUCCAAUAACCUUUCGUCAUUACCUAAAUAACCAUUUUAAACAUUAUUAUUACCAUUUGAUUCAUAUUCAUAUGUCACUUGAACUGUAAAUAUAACGAAUAGCGACCGCAAUAGCGGACAACAGUGGACACUAAUUCCAAACAUGCUAUCUUAAGUCUGCUACCUUGUAGCGGUAGCUAUGCAUUGUGGGCGCUACGAAUGCUAUUUAGUACCGUGGCCGUGGCCCGCGCGGCGCGUGCCUGCUCGACGGGAGGCGAUGGCGGCGCAGCGCACGCGACACCUCGCGGAGCUUGCCGGCACAGCUCCUCGCGGGCUGUCGGCACGGUGGCGCGCGCGGCAGGUGGCACAGAGCCGCGGUCACCCGCGCCUGAGCACGAAAGUGAGCGUUCCUCGAACUGCUUCGCAAGAGAUCGAGCAGGGGAUGCACGAGCACGGGCGGCGCGGGAUUGAGUGGCGGACCGAGAGGGCAAUUUAAUGCCGUUACUGUAGCUUUUUGCCAAAUGUAACGGUAAUGGCACAUAGGAGAUGGAGUUAAAUUUUCAGUGGCACGGAAAGGAUGAGACAAAUUUGGGUGGCACAUAGAGGAUGAGUUAAAUUUUUAAUGGGCAUUACGGAAUUUUCUCGAGCAUUUUUGGGUUGGCAUGCGACAGUGCCUUUGCAAACAGGUGAGUCCUAGAUCAAGCAGUAGAUCAUCAACACAGCAAUCCAGUCAAUCUCGGCAGAAAGAUUCUCGCGCCUUUGCAAACAGGUGAGUUGUAGAUCAUGAACACUACAAUCCAGUCAAUCUCGGCAGAAAGAUUUUCAAAAGGAGCAAAAGGGAGCGUGAAAGGCUGGGCGAAGGACAGUAGGAGGAGCUGUGCGGAGGGCACGGCAUGGCAGAGGGUGCGUAGAGGUGGUGGGGGAGCACGGCGGGUCGCCAUGCCCCUCCGGCGCGGGCCAGCGGCAGUGGGCGCGCGCCGACGCCCACCACUCGUUGGCUUGGGCGUGGUGGGGGCAGUGGAGUGUGCGGGGGCGCUAGUGAUGACCAGUCUAGUGCUGGUGAGUUUGUUGGGAUUGGCGCCCAGCUGUGCAGGGCAUGCUACUCCUUUUCGUUCGGCUGUCUGCUUAGCUGGGUCCGCUCCUUCCGGGCAAAAAGGAAUCCAACGCAACCACUCUUGGUACCAUGCCACCAGUCAGAGUGUAGAAGCAGAUGGAGGGGGUGGCAAUGUGGCAUCAAGGGUUGACGGAGGACUGCGUUAAAAUCCCGCUCUUGUUUGCACAUUGCACACAGCUUUUGUAACACAUAAAAAAUGAGGAGGAUCUUAGUCGUUCCCAUGCAUACCCGACGCGAGAGUUUUAGCAGGUCGCGUGCAAACACGGCAUGGUUAGGCUUCAACAAGUUCCAAUGACCACUGUUGCCGGCGAGUAAGUCUUUAGGUCUAUUGAAGCUUGAAUUUGUGGCCUUCAUUGAACCCCGGGCUUACAGGAACAGCUAAACCAAAUGAAGUGGACUAUGUUGAAAUUCAGUUCAUAUUAUGUGCGCACGUCUCCUAUACCACCACACAGACGGUGAGCAUUUUUAGUCUGACCCCGUGCUAGCAAAGAUUGGUUAGGGUUACAUGCUUCCGCGAGCUCCACUGUUGACUAGCGGGGAUGUUGCAAGCUCCACCGUCUCACGGUCUUCAAUGACCCUACUAGGCUAAACCAAAUGAAGAGCAUGUACGAUGGAGGAUUGGGCUGAAAUUUGGUUUAGGUUUACGUGCACAAACCUCCUAUAUCUUACCCGCCUAAGGGCAGUCCCAACCCAAUGACUACGAUGGUGUCCAUAGAAUUAAAUGAGCUGCCACCUAAGAUAAAAGAUGAUGGUGUCCAUAGUAUUACUCUCCGGAGGUCCGAACCUGUCUAAACCUUGCGUCCCUGUGUUACCAUUCGAGUUCUUAUCUCACGAUCUCCCCCACCUACAAAUCUACCACCUGGGGAACCCCUGUUGGACUGCUGGUCACUAAAUCCGACUGUUUAAAAGAUGAUGUGGCAAGGGAGUAGAUGAAGAAAGAGAAGAAAACCAGGUCUUGUAUGAGACCUAGUAUCUACACACCAUCCAACACAUCAUGAGAGAUGUGCAGUAUUAAAUUAAGUAUGGAAUAGUGAUAUUUGCAUUGGAAGAGUAGUGUUUAGUACUAGUUUCUUGAUGAUGUGGAGCUUAUGGAAACUAUGGCUAGUGUCUUGGGUUGGAACUGACUAAAAAUGGCAAGGAUUCUAUUCAAUCCCAUGCCAAAACAUAGCUUGGUUAGGGUUUUAGGCUCUAGCAAGUGAGCUCAUUGAUGCGGGGCGUCUCCUAUGGUCUAGCUUAGAGAUAGCUUAACCAAUUUUUUACUAGUUUAACAGUGCAAUAAGUAUGAGACUAAUUUGGAGUGAAGAGCUAGUCUCGCUCACUUCUCGAUGCAACUCUCUCUCACAACACGAUCUUCAAAGCUAGCAUGUACAUGAAACCUACAUCAACUAUGAGCUAUCAACUAACUUAUACCAUUGGAGAAACCCCAAAGAAGUUUGGAGGGGGUCCAAGAAGGGGGCUUUUGUGGUGUUCAAUAAUACAUGGGCUUGGAUGGCCACAGAGGUAUGGGUGGGAGUUGGGCACUCAAAGAGGCAUUAGGUGUGAAGGAGUGAGUGAGGUGUGGAAAAUAUAAUCGCUCCGGUUACAUUAAGAUCCUACGUACAAUUGUCAUUAUUAGCCGAUAAGAAAUAUUUAUACUCUAGCUUCGAUGCGAUGUUUUUGAUUAGGUUAUUACCAUAAACCUUCGUGCUUCCUAUGCUAGAAUCAAUCUCAUUUUGGAAUGAAUCUCAUUUUGGAAUUUACCACCUUUGAUUAUUGCUCCCGACCAUCUCUUGCACGAAACACAACUUGAUUCAUAAUUUGAGAUCCUACACGCUUACUUCUGAGGGGAACCUACGUGCUCGGGUUUACGUGGCAGCUAGUAAUAUUGCUUGCUUUGCUUGUGGACGCGCAUAAAAAGUUUUGCAUCCUGCACCAGUAGUUUACUGGUUUUGAGAAUACACAUGGCCAUGCAUGGCAUUCUAUAAUUUCUCCGAGCAAACGGUGGAGCAAGAUCCGCGGCGCCGCCGCCGCCCCUACCAGAGCCAGUCGUCCAGCACUGAUUUGUUGCUUGAUCACGGAGAAAACGAUGCGCGCGCUGGAGGCGGGCGUCCGACGCGACGACAGUUGAAAGCCCCCCGGCGCAUGGCCAACCAUACAAGAAACAACACAAGGUUUAUCUGGUUGGUUGUUGCUAGCCACAGCCAGGAACGCGUCCUAAUCACGCCAGCUCACGCCUCUCUGUAUCAUAACGAUGAGGCCGAGAUGAAGAAGCCUGCGGAGUCCCCCGCAACGGACGACGGGCCCGGUCGCGAUCGCCUACCCCGGACUCGGACGGACAUGAUGCCACGCUGGCUCAACACCGCACGGCACCCUACUACUCCAUCAAGCUCUCGAUCCGGACCCCGUACGAGAGGCGCGCCGUAGCUUUCGGCCCGAGCUGGCUGUUGGCUGGCAGUCCCCGCUGGCUGCGGUGCGACCGGCCACGGACGACACGCGCGAAGAGCAGACGCAGCGGAUCCGAUCAUCAUCCCUGUGGCUGCCGUCAGCCCCGUGUCACGUACACGUACGUUACGUGGUACGGCGCCGCUUGGGCUCGGCCUGCCGGGAUCGUCUGUGCCGCCGCGAGCCGGAGCCGCAGCGACACCGCGUCGGCGUGGGUGAUACGGCGACAGCGGUGUAGAACAAUCGCCAGACGCCAGCUACGUCGUGUCGUCGUCGAUGGAUCGAUGGAGUGGCCAUCGCGUUAUGGGCGGCCGUACCAACUGAUGUGCAUGUCACAUAAACCUGCAGGCUACUGUUUCGCUGUGCUCUCGCGCUUUCGGCAGUGUGCUGCAUGGGCACCUACCUAUACAGUUUAAUUUCGUGCCGGGACACGGACGACGUACGGCGGCAGAAGUGUCUGGGCCGAGCGUGACGACAGCUAACGAUGGAGAGCGGCCGGUGCCGACUGCGUUGCGUCGGCGAAGGCAGGAGCAGUCUGGCGCCGCGGCGCUUCAAAGCCUGCAGUUAGCUCGACCGCCACGAGAAUACGGGAUGCGCCUUGCCGCCUCGAUGCAUGCAGAGAUCGUGGAAUGUAUGCUGCAGCUUUUUUGUUUUGAAGUAAGAUGCCGCAGCUUUGCCAAUGUGGCAAUGUCAGCUCGCGGCUUCAUUUUGAUGAUCCCUGCUGAACCAAUUCGGCAAUUCGCCAACCAAAGAAAUGGGCCGCCCGUAAGCCCAACAUGGAUCCUCAAAGGCCCAGCUUUAACAUUUAGGCCUACACGUUUGAGAUCGAUUUGCAAACUCAUACUUAAAAAAAAAACA